AGCGAAAUUCCUUGUCGGGUAAGUUCCGACCUGCACGAAUGGCGUAAUGAUGGCCAGGCUGUCUCCACCCGAGACUCAGUGAAAUUGAACUCGCUGUGAAGAUGCAGUGUACCCGCGGCAAGACGGAAAGACCCCGUGAACCUUUACUAUAGCUUGACACUGAACAUUGAGCCUUGAUGUGUAGGAUAGGUGGGAGGCUUUGAAGUGUGGACGCCAGUCUGCAUGGAGCCGACCUUGAAAUACCACCCUUUAAUGUUUGAUGUUCUAACGUGGACCCGUGAUCCGGGUUGCGGACAGUGUCUGGUGGGUAGUUUGACUGGGGCGGUCUCCUCCUAAAGAGUAACGGAGGAGCACGAAGGUUGGCUAAUCCUGGUCGGACAUCAGGAGGUUAGUGCAAUGGCAUAAGCCAGCUUGACUGCGAGCGUGACGGCGCGAGCAGGUGCGAAAGCAGGUCAUAGUGAUCCGGUGGUUCUGAAUGGAAGGGCCAUCGCUCAACGGAUAAAAGGUACUCCGGGGAUAACAGGCUGAUACCGCCCAAGAGUUCAUAUCGACGGCGGUGUUUGGCACCUCGAUGUCGGCUCAUCACAUCCUGGGGCUGAAGUAGGUCCCAAGGGUAUGGCUGUUCGCCAUUUAAAGUGGUACGCGAGCUGGGUUUAGAACGUCGUGAGACAGUUCGGUCCCUAUCUGCCGUGGGCGCUGGAGAAUUGAGGGGGGCUGCUCCUAGUACGAGAGGACCGGAGUGGACGCAUCACUGGUGUUCGGGUUGUCAUGCCAAUGGCACUGCCCGGUAGCUAAAUGCGGAAGAGAUAAGUGCUGAAAGCAUCUAAGCACGAAACUUGCCCCGAGAUGAGUUCUCCCUGACUCCUUGAGAGUCCUGAAGGAACGUUGAAGACGACGACGUUGAUAGGCCGGGUGUGUAAGCGCAGCGAUGCGUUGAGCUAACCGGUACUAAUGAACCGUGAGGCUUAACCUU
RNAcentral lists this ribosomal RNA (973 nucleotides) under human gut metagenome. Its description in RNAcentral is "bacterial LSU rRNA". It matches the Rfam family "Bacterial large subunit ribosomal RNA", at positions 1958 to 2925 of the family's 2925-position model. The record is from RNAcentral.